Molecule: long non-coding RNA, 1793 nt
Filed under: Paramuricea clavata
Lineage: Eukaryota; Metazoa; Cnidaria; Anthozoa; Malacalcyonacea; Plexauridae
Source: RNAcentral
GUUUGAAGAAAUUAAAACAAAGGCUUUAUGGUUAAAAACGCUUCUGCUGAGCAAAUUUGUAGUUUCACUUGUCGCGUCUUGACAUGUUUGCGUUGUACACGAGACGUGAAAAUCUCUGGUUUGCCGUUGUAAAAAGCACUAACACAGCGUCUCCAACUCCCGUGGAGCUUUUAAUUAUUCAUUUCUUUUGUACGAGAUCAGGAAUAUCAUUGUGUGAAUAGCCGUCGUCGUUGCGUUGCAGCAGGUAAAACUUUAUAGACGACCGCAAUUUUGUCUUGCUUUAGGAAUGGCUGAGCCAAUGUUUCUGCCGUCAUGCAGAAACUGAAAGUCAGCAUCGUGAAAAAGUCGACAUCCACCAUAAAAAAUUGUCGACUUGGACAAGACGCUGAAUGACAGUGAUGGACAAGACAGGAUAGAUGGAGUGGUUUCACCUAGUCACUAUACGGCACCGCGUGCAUCAGAUGCAUGGUGAUCAACCAGAAUUACUUAUAAUAUUCGAGUACUUAUUUGUCUGGGGCCGGUUGUUCAAAGCCCGAUUAGCGCUAACCCUGGGUUAAAUUUAACCUGCUGUUUUUGUUUAUGUAUUUCUGCGUGAUCAUACGUUUCAAAACUUUAGAAAAGAAAACCUCUAUUGAACCCGAAAGGAUUUCUGGAAAAACAUAUUCAACUUAAUUGUGAGCUGUUGGAAAUUUUAAUUUGUAGAUUUGUGUUAACCCAGGGUUAGGCUAACCGGCUUUUGAACAACCGGCCCCUACAGUAUAUUACAUGAAUUAUAUGGAAUCUAAUACUAUAAUAGUCACAGAGAUUAGGGUUAACGAAAUAGUAUUUCAGAAAAAUGCUUUGAAAACUACUUUACUUAAAGUACCUAAUACGAUAUUAAAACAUAUGUCGGGGGAAAAGCAUGCAGUAUACCUUAUUAUAGGAAAUUAACGAUGCACUUUAUUAACGCGGAUUUUAAAAAUUCGCGUUAAUUUAAUUAAUGUUAAUUUAUGUGAUCGUAAAUUUUAGGUAUGUAAUUUUCAUUUAUCGUUAGUUAAAAAUACCUAGAUUUGUUUUAUAUAACACUAACUCUUUUAAUAUCAAAAUACAGCAUAUUAACGUAAACUAAAAACAUCAGUGCUCCUCUUAACAUUAAACCUUUGUUGUUGUUGUUGUGUCUAUAUUUUCCGAUUCGCGUUAAUUUAAUUAAUUUGUCAACCAUGGAGAUCAGAUUCGCGUUAAUAUAAUCAUGUUUUAAAAGACCUAGAAGCAAUCCGCGUUAAUUUGAUGUCGCGUUAAUUUAUGUCGCGUUAAUAAAGUGCAUCGUUAAUUUCCUAUAAUAAGGUAAUUAAAAGUUAAUCUGGGGACGGAUCUACCGUGGGUGUGCAUAAUAAAAAGCCGAUAUAAACUUUAUAAACAAAAGAUAAUGCAACAGAACUUCGGCCAUCUCAAAUAUUUGUAAUGUUGGGAUAGUAGCGUAGCAGACUGCAGAGGAGAGUGAGUAGUAAGGCUCCCUCGUGCACCACCCCCAUGGUCUUUGCAGAUGAGGCUAGAUCCGCCCCUGUAAUUAAUAGUUAAAUUACCAUUAUAUUUGGCGACAAAAGGAAUGUAAUGUGAGGGGUUUAUAUUUAUACAGAAUUUAUUGUGUUUGGAAUUACCAAAUACAUCAAGUUAAUGACGUUAUCAACAAAAAUGUAGGUGGGUUUCAUCACGAUAUAUUGAAGUAGUUUUAAUUUCACACACGUUUGAGAAGGGAUUAGAUUUAGGCAUCUACUGUUUGUUUUUAAUAUUCUCACGCUCACAGAAUAAUUACA